GGCUUAGAGUUUGAUCAUGGCUCAGGACGAACGCUGGCGGCGCGCCUAACACAUGCAAGUCGAACGGAAAGAUUUUUCUACUCCGAGUUCUUUGUGGGUCUUUAAGGAGAGCGUCGAUCAAUGCGAAGCAUCGAAGAUGCGAGCGUUGAUCCAGGCUUUAUUUAGAAGACUAACACAAAGGUGGAGCAGAGAGCUGGGAGUAGGAAAAUCUUUUAGUGGCGAACGGGUGAGUAACGCGUGAGGAACCUGCCUCAAAGAGGGGGACAACAGUUGGAAACGACUGCUAAUACCGCAUAAGCCCACGGUUCUGCAUGGAACUGAGGGAAAAGGAGCAAUCCGCUUUGAGAUGGCCUCGCGUCCGAUUAGCUAGUUGGUGAGGUAACGGCCCACCAAGGCGACGAUCGGUAGCCGGACUGAGAGGUUGAACGGCCACAUUGGGACUGAGACACGGCCCAGACUCCUACGGGAGGCAGCAGUGGGGAAUAUUGCACAAUGGGGGAAACCCUGAUGCAGCGACGCCGCGUGGAGGAAGAAGGUCUUCGGAUUGUAAACUCCUGUUGUUGGGGAAAAAGAGGAUGGUACCCAACAAGGAAGUGACGGCUAACUACGUGCCAGCAGCCGCGGUAAAACGUAGGUCACAAGCGUUGUCCGGAAUUACUGGGUGUAAAGGGAGCGCAGGCGGGUAUGCAAGUUGGGAGUGAAAUACAUGGGCUCAACCCAUGAACUGCUCUCAAAACUGUGUAUCUUGAGUAGUGCAGAGGUAGGCGGAAUUCCCGGUGUAGCGGUGGAAUGCGUAGAUAUCGGGAGGAACACCAGUGGCGAAAGGCGGCCUACUGGGCACCAACUGACGCUGAGGCUCGAAAGUGUGGGUA
RNAcentral lists this ribosomal RNA (872 nucleotides) under uncultured organism. RNAcentral describes it as "bacterial SSU rRNA". It matches the Rfam family "Bacterial small subunit ribosomal RNA", at positions 1 to 767 of the family's 1533-position model. The record is from RNAcentral.